Long non-coding RNA from Diceros bicornis minor, 590 nucleotides. RefSeq lists it as uncharacterized. NCBI's taxonomy places the organism in Eukaryota, Metazoa, Chordata, Mammalia, Perissodactyla, Rhinocerotidae. The record is from RefSeq and is a predicted model, not a curated record. The transcript has 3 exons.
UUAAAAAUCUUCUCAAAGGUUGCAAAGGAGACCCCACAGCUGCGCUGGAAGUGCUGGGAUGAGACGCGGCUGGCACUGUUUCCCCCGAGGGCCGGGACCCAGCAGUGAGCUCCCCGCGGAGGGGGUCCAGACACGACUCGGAGGGGAUCGGCCCUCGGGGCCUGUGCGUUUCUGCGAGGCGGCCUCCAUGCCGCUCUGUCUGACCACUUGACCCCAGACCUGUUGCUGCCCUUGGGAUUCCAGUGCUUUGAGCAAAAGCUGACAGCAGUGUGGUGAUUCUUGUGAUGAAUGUGCUCAUUUGAAAAUAUCAAUUCAAGAGGUCAGCCUGAGAAUCUCGAAGACUUCCUCCUGCAGAUUACUUCCAGGUGAAACGACCCUCUGGGAAUGAAGAACGGUCUUCACAGCAAGGAGCCGCUAACAUUUCUGCGUUUGAGAAGAAGAGCAAGCAUUAAACCAUAAAAUGUUCCUGGCUAAGGAAACAGAAGAAAAAGGCCUGCGCUAGCAGCAUUCCCCGCGCUCAUAAAUACCAAGCCGUGUUCCUAGGUGACCAGAGAAAACACGUGGGGACAGGAGAAGAUUUCUGGGGGCAU